AGGCUAUGAUGAGAAAAGUCAUGCACCACUCUGAGGAGAUUUACCUCCUUGUGCUGAUAAACAAACUUACAACCCAUUUUACAUCUGAGCCU
This 92-nucleotide small nucleolar RNA is filed under the name Hordeum vulgare. RNAcentral's name for it is "Small nucleolar RNA Z221/R21b". It matches the Rfam family "Small nucleolar RNA Z221/R21b". From Rfam's summary of the family: Z221 is a member of the C/D class of snoRNA which contain the C (UGAUGA) and D (CUGA) box motifs. Most of the members of the box C/D family function in directing site-specific 2'-O-methylation of substrate RNAs. The record is from RNAcentral. RNAcentral also lists the same sequence under 1 other name. Lineage: Eukaryota; Viridiplantae; Streptophyta; Magnoliopsida; Poales; Poaceae.